Molecule: long non-coding RNA, 562 nt
Organism: Hippocampus comes (tiger tail seahorse)
Lineage: Eukaryota; Metazoa; Chordata; Actinopteri; Syngnathiformes; Syngnathidae
Exons: 5
Source: RefSeq, a predicted model, not a curated record
GUUAACGUCUCUGGACGCAGUUUAAGAUAAUAUAAAGUUGAAUCUUCUCCUUCAACUUUUUAAACGAUUUCUUAGGGAGUGAUUUGGAAACCUUGGCCAGGAUGGGAAAACUUCCAGAGCAAAAGAACCACUUCUACAUUUAUAUGGCAAGAGUCAAAAGGUGGUGAUCAGACGAGCUUCUUGGCGAUAAAGAAAUCUUUGAGCCGCUUCAUCUGCCAGAAACCGACCGAAAGCAGGAGGAAGGUCUGCACCAUGGCCCACCACAGCACGGUUUUACCAGACGUUCUCCAGCAAAGACGGAGAAACUGGUGGAGUUGGUUUGGAAGCAGAGGAAGUGCUGACCAGACGCGUGCGCCGUGAAGAACUCACCCGUCACCAGCAUGCCCUCGGGAAUCUCCUCGAUGAUGCAUCGCUCCUCCUGCUCGCCCAGAUCGAUAUACAUGGCGGCCGCCAGCGUCAGGUAAGCCUCCAGGAAAAAGCCGGCCCAUUGCAGCCUCAUGCUGAGGCCUAUGAAUCUAAUUUGGUUGGGUGGAUCCAACAGAACAGGUCUGCAAAUGCCAAA